Molecule: ribosomal RNA, 722 nt
Filed under: Boana raniceps (Chaco treefrog)
Lineage: Eukaryota; Metazoa; Chordata; Amphibia; Anura; Hylidae
Description: partial 16S ribosomal RNA
Rfam family: Bacterial large subunit ribosomal RNA
Source: RNAcentral
AACGGCCGCGGUAUCCUAACCGUGCGAAGGUAGCGUAAUCACUUGUUCUUUAAAUGAGGACUAGUAUGAAUGGCACCACGAGGGUUAAACUGUCUCCUUUUUUUAAUCAGUGAAACUAAUCUCCCCGUGAAGAAGCGGGGAUUCUUUUAUAAGACGAGAAGACCCUAUGGAGCUUUAAACAAGUUAACACCUGCUACUAAUCNNUUCACUUUCCUGAACCACCACAUUAAGUAUAGCACCUCUGAUUAACAGUUUUCGAUUGGGGUGAUCAUGGAGCAAAAAUCAACCUCCACGACGAAAAGGAACACCUCCUUGAGCCAAAAGCUACAACUUUAAGCACUAAAAAACUAACGCACUUUGACCCAAUUCUUUGAGCAACGAACCAAGUUACCCUAGGGAUAACAGCGCAAUCCACUUUAAGAGCUCCUAUCGACAAGUGGGUUUACGACCUCGAUGUUGGAUCAGGGUAUCCCAGUGGUGCAGCCGCUACUAAAGGUUCGUUUGUUCAACGAUUAAAACCCUACGUGAUCUGAGUUCAGACCGGAGUAAUCCAGGUCAGUUUCUAUCUAUAAAGAGCUUUUUCUAGUACGAAAGGACCGAAAAAGCAUGGCCUAUAACCCAUCAAGCCAUAUAAAUUACUAUUGUUCCCAACUUAAAUAGAAGUAAACCUACCACUUAUCUCGAUAAAAGAGAAGUUAACGUAGCAUAACCUGGCCUUGCAG